CUAACACAUGCAAGUCGAGCGGAGAUGAGGUGCUUGCACCUUAUCUUAGCGGCGGACGGGUGAGUAAUGCUUAGGAAUCUGCCUAUUAGUGGGGGACAACAUUCCGAAAGGAAUGCUAAUACCGCAUACGUCCUACGGGAGAAAGCAGGGGAUCUUCGGACCUUGCGCUAAAUGAUGAGCCUAAGUCGGAUUAGCUAGUUGGUGGGGUAAAGGCCUACCAAGGCGACGAUCUGUAGCGGGUCUGAGAGGAUGAUCCGCCACACUGGGACUGAGACACGGCCCAGACUCCUACGGGAGGCAGCAGUGGGGAAUAUUGGACAAUGGGGGGAACCCUGAUCCAGCCAUGCCGCGUGUGUGAAGAAGGUCUUUUGGUUGUAA
This 378-nucleotide ribosomal RNA is filed under the name uncultured bacterium. RNAcentral's name for it is "bacterial SSU rRNA". It matches the Rfam family "Bacterial small subunit ribosomal RNA", at positions 48 to 428 of the family's 1533-position model. The record is from RNAcentral.